AUGGCACGGGUGCCCCCGCCGCCCGCCCGGCUCCGGCCCAGCCCCGAGGAGGCUGAGCCUAACGCGGCGCCCCCGGGACCGCCGGCCCCUACCGCCGUCCUUGCCCGAGCGCCGGAGCAGCUAGCGGCUGGCUCGCGGCUGUCCCCGGGGGGGCAGAGCGGCGGGGUCCCCCGGGUGCCCCCGCGUCCUCGCGGCGCGGCUGGCGGCGGGCGCUCGGCGGCGCCCGGGCUCCUCCGCUCCCGCCGCAGCGCUCGCUGCUGCUGCUGCUCUUCGCUUCAUUCUGGACUUCAGCAGCCCCCAGAGCUGUUGUGUGUAAUUAGCAGAUCCUCCCCCUCUCCCUCCCCUUCCUCCCCUCCUCCUCCUCCCCCCCCCCCCGCUCAGCCUCCCAUCCCAGCGCCCAGCUCGGGCUCCAUCCGUCGCUGCCAGCACCGCUGCCCUCCCUGCCGAGAGCCCGCGGCGAAGGCAGGCAGGGAAGGGAGGACCAGGGCAAAGCCGGCUCGGGGCUCCCCGGCUGCCGGAGUCCUGCCCCUUAACGCGGACCCCGUCGCUCCUCGCGGCGCUGCUCCGCUCAAGGACGCCAGCGCCAACGCCAGCGGCGCGCGGGCAGCCGGGCGCCCCGCUCCCGGACCUGGGGGCACCAGGGACCCCAAACUUUCCCCUGUCUGCCCCGCGCGGAGCCGGCCCCGAAGCGCGCCGUGCCCAAGGCCGGCCCUUCGGCUGCCCUCGUCACCCCCCGGCGUGCCCGUCCCCCCUCUCCCCCCCGCGCCCGCUCGGGGAUCGUUGCGCAGUGGAAAGACAUCCCGCGUAUUGACUUGCACUCAAAUCUUAUCGGCCUCCCGAGGCUCCUGGAUUGCUUUCACCCUGGCAGGGCUUGAAAAAGGCAUAAAUAAAUCAAUUGAUCUGAUGCCGCUGCAGCUGCAACCUGCGAGAUGGCAGGUCCCGUCUGGUCCCCUCCCGACCAGGACCUCUCGGGGUCCCCACACAACCCUCCUACGCGGGGGUCCGAGCGCCAGGGCUGCGGGACCCCCCAGGGACCCAGGUUCAGGGAGGGGGACAGGGCCUAGCGGCGAGGUCCGGAGGGCUCCCGGGCCCGGUUUGGCCCAGCGCCACAUCCAGCCCACGCGGCACAGGACGCCCCACGGGAGAGCAGCGCCCCGUUGCGCGGAGGGCUGCAAAACCAGCGGCGCGGGAGCUCACCUCCUCCGGAAACCAGCCUGGACCCCUUUGGUGCAGACGGGGAAACUGAGGCAGGGAACCCAGCGCCGUCGGCAGAUUCGGGCUUUGAGCACCGGCAUUAUGCGGUAG
Molecule: long non-coding RNA, 1305 nt
Filed under: Dromaius novaehollandiae (emu)
Lineage: Eukaryota; Metazoa; Chordata; Aves; Casuariiformes; Dromaiidae
Description: lncRNA (ENSDNVG00000000648.1)
Source: RNAcentral